AGGUCCAUGAUUUGGUCAGCUGUGCAGCAGGAGAUGGGUCAAAGGAGGUUUAUUCUGAGACUGAACAACAGGUGCAUGAUUUGGUCAGCUGUGCAGCAGGAAAUGGGUCAAAGGAGGUUUUUUCUGAGACUGAACAACAGGUGCAUGCUUUGGUCAGCUGUGCAGCAGGAGAUGGGUCAAAGGAGAUCUCAACAACGUCUGAUUCUCAGCUGACAUGUCAUGACAACACUCAACAGGU
Molecule: long non-coding RNA, 238 nt
Organism: Danio aesculapii
Lineage: Eukaryota; Metazoa; Chordata; Actinopteri; Cypriniformes; Danionidae
Exons: 4
Source: RefSeq, a predicted model, not a curated record